This 443-nucleotide ribosomal RNA is filed under the name uncultured Alphaproteobacteria bacterium. RNAcentral's name for it is "bacterial SSU rRNA". It matches the Rfam family "Bacterial small subunit ribosomal RNA", at positions 29 to 505 of the family's 1533-position model. Lineage: Bacteria; Pseudomonadati; Pseudomonadota; Alphaproteobacteria. The record is from RNAcentral.
AACGAACGCUGGCGGCAGGCCUAACACAUGCAAGUCGAAGGAGAAGCCGGGCUUCGGCCCGGUGGAAACUGGCGCACGGGUGAGUAACGCGUGGGUAUCUACCUUGGGGUGGGGAAUAACCGCUGGAAACGGCGGCUAAUACCGCAUACGCCUUUAGAGGGAAAGCUCCGGCGCCCUAAGAGGAGCCCGCGUUGGAUUAGCUUGUUGGUGGGGUAACGGCCCACCAAGGCUACGAUCUAUAGCUGGUCUGAGAGGAUGAUCAGCCACACUGGGACUGAGACACGGCCCAGACUCCUACGGGAGGCAGCAGUGGGGAAUAUUGGACAAUGGGCGCAAGCCUGAUCCAGCCAUGCCGCGUGAGUGAAGAAGGCCUUAGGGUUGUAAAGCUCUUUCACCUGCGAAGAUGAUGACGGUAGCAGGAGAAGAAGCCCCGGCUAACUCCG